ACUCCUACGGGAGGCAGCAGUGGGGAAUAUUGCACAAUGGGCGCAAGCCUGAUGCAGCCAUGCCGCGUGUAUGAAGAAGGCCUUCGGUUGUAAAGUACUUUCAGCAGUGAGGAAGGCAGGUACGUUAAUAGCGUGCUUGUUUGACGUUAGCUGCAGAAGAAGCACCGGCUAACUCCGUGCCAGCAGCCGCGGUAAUACGGAGGGUGCGAGCGUUAAUCGGAAUUACUGGGCGUAAAGCGCAUGCAGGUGGUUUGUUAAGUCAGAUGUGAAAGCCCGGGGCUCAACCUCGGAAUUGCAUUUGAAACUGGCAGACUAGAGUACUGUAGAGGGGGUAGAAUUUCAGGUGUAGCGGUGAAAUGCGUAGAGAUCUGAAGGAAUACCGGUGGCGAAGGCGGCCCCCUGGACAGAUACUGACACUCAGAUGCGAAAGCGUGGGGAGCAAACAGGAUUAGAUACCCUGGUAGGAUAGCG
This 471-nucleotide ribosomal RNA is filed under the name uncultured bacterium. RNAcentral's name for it is "bacterial SSU rRNA". It matches the Rfam family "Bacterial small subunit ribosomal RNA", at positions 335 to 799 of the family's 1533-position model. The record is from RNAcentral.